Mirounga angustirostris (Northern elephant seal) is the source of this 1208-nucleotide long non-coding RNA. RefSeq lists it as uncharacterized. Lineage: Eukaryota; Metazoa; Chordata; Mammalia; Carnivora; Phocidae. The record is from RefSeq and is a predicted model, not a curated record. The transcript is spliced from 3 exons.
UUAGCACCAGACCUCCCACAUCCCCUUUCCUGAAAUAGCUGAACUGGUGAAAAGGAUUAAGAGCGCCAGCAGGUUAGCGUGCGCAUGCGCAUUCGUCCCUGGCUUUGGGCAUGCGCAUUCGUCCCUGGCUUUGGGCAUGCGCAGUGUUCAUCCCGGCUUUGUUCAAUUCCUUGCCUAGCCCCACAUCAAGUCUGCCUCACCUGCUGUGUCUCCCUCUGUAUUUUCCCUUUACAGCACUUAUCAUUGAUUAUCCACAGCAGGUGUUCAAUCUUGGUCUCCCUGUGGGUAAAUCCGAGGUAGCCAGACACCAUUUCCGUCGGACUCACCAGUGUGUGCCCCGAGCUUGGCAUGAUGCCUGACACACAAAUCAAUUCGGUUAAUGUUUGAAUUUGUGGAUGGACUUAAAAAUAACAUUAUUAAAAAACAGUUAAGAUCCAGUCAGCUCUUGAGAAAACCUGCUUAAAUGCAGAUGUAUGUGAAGGGUUUAUUACUGUGUGAUUUACCCACUUGGAGUCAGAGUCCCCUGCUCCCCACCCCCACCCCCUCUCUGUUCUUCCCCAUUGCCACACAGGGAGGAGAAAUCCCUGCUAGAAAACGGCUCUCAGGGGAGGGAGAGCAAGUGGGUGCUCUCACGGGCCGUGGAGGCCCCCCAGAGGGGUGGCUGUGCUCCAGACAUAGGGCAGGAGGACGCUACGCGGAAGGCAGCCCCCUGAAGGGACAGAGCCCUUUGCAAAUGGAAAAGCGGGAAACACGAGUACGGAAGCCACAGCGCGGCCGGCGUCCUCUGCCCCGCACCGCUUCUCCGAGGGUGGACGAGUCGGAUUUUAUCACCGUGGGGUUUUCCAUAACACCUCCCCAACUGGAAGGAAACUCUGUGACGAGCUCGAAAAUGGAGCUUCCUGGACUUCCCAUUUUCAUCUCUCUGCUUAAGCACACAGCUCCUAGGACUGUUCUGGCAGAAAAAUAAGCAGAAGCUCAAUAAACAUUUGUGCAACAAAUGAAUCUUGCUGUGGGGACACCACAUUAAGGAAGAACACUUAGAAAGUCAUUACAUUUGAUCGAUUUCAAAUUCAGUGAAAGUUCAAAGAAGAGAAAGAUCAACAUGAACUCGAAGGUGUAUUGAAGGAGUUAAGGAUGUUACAAGGCUUCGCUUGGAAACAGGAAAUCUAAAUAAAGAUUCUUCAACAUCACUUCAGCAUCCUAAUAGC